GACGAACGCUGGCGGCGUGCCUAAUACAUGCAAGUAGAACGCUGAAGGAGGAGCUUGCUGCUCUGGAUGAGUUGCGAACGGGUGAGUAACGCGUAGGUAACCUGCCUGGUAGCGGGGGAUAACUAUUGGAAACGAUAGCUAAUACCGCAUAAGAGUAGAUGUUGCAUGACAUUUGCUUAAAAGGUGCAAUUGCAUCACUACCAGAUGGACCUGCGUUGUAUUAGCUAGUUGGUGGGGUAACGGCUCACCAAGGCGACGAUACAUAGCCGACCUGAGAGGGUGAUCGGCCACACUGGGACUGAGACACGGCCCAGACUCCUACGGGAGGCAGCAGUAGGGAAUCUUCGGCAAUGGACGGAAGUCUGACCGAGCAACGCCGCGUGAGUGAAGAAGGUUUUCGGAUCGUAAAGCUCUGUUGUAAGAGAAGAACGAGUGUGAGAGUGGAAAGUUCACACUG
RNAcentral lists this ribosomal RNA (457 nucleotides) under Streptococcus mitis. RNAcentral's name for it is "bacterial SSU rRNA". It matches the Rfam family "Bacterial small subunit ribosomal RNA", at positions 28 to 471 of the family's 1533-position model. Lineage: Bacteria; Bacillati; Bacillota; Bacilli; Lactobacillales; Streptococcaceae. The record is from RNAcentral.